RNAcentral lists this ribosomal RNA (306 nucleotides) under Triticum aestivum (bread wheat). RNAcentral describes it as "partial small subunit ribosomal RNA". Lineage: Eukaryota; Viridiplantae; Streptophyta; Magnoliopsida; Poales; Poaceae. The record is from RNAcentral.
AUGUCCUUCCACCAGAUUCUUAUUCAUGUAGUCAACUGGAGGCAGUUUCACUGGGUAACCAUUCUCCUCGCAGGUGGCGGCCGGAGUUUGCAGUUGCAGGAAGCAAUGUCGUUGCUCAACGUUGGGAGAUUUAAUUUGAUGUGUGGCAAUAUCGACCCAGCACCGCUCUCAGGACAUGUCUCUCCCUCGAUCGAUGCUUGCGUCUCUAGGUCAUGCACGUUUCAUACUGCAGCCCAAGACGCCGUAGUAGACCGGAGAAAGAUGAUACAUCUCAAGCUGUUGUUUCCCAGAAGGGUCGUCUCCUAA